UGAGGUGACUCAUUAAUGAAAGUUUUUC
This 28-nucleotide non-coding RNA is filed under the name Mus musculus (house mouse). Lineage: Eukaryota; Metazoa; Chordata; Mammalia; Rodentia; Muridae. The record is from RNAcentral.